This 253-nucleotide ribosomal RNA is filed under the name uncultured bacterium. Its description in RNAcentral is "partial 16S ribosomal RNA". It matches the Rfam family "Bacterial small subunit ribosomal RNA", at positions 524 to 776 of the family's 1533-position model. The record is from RNAcentral.
UACGGAGGGUGCAAGCGUUAUCCGGAUUCGCUGGGUUUAAAGGGUGCGUAGGUGGGUUGGUAAGUCAGUGGUGAAAUCCCCGAGCUUAACUUGGGAACUGCCAUUGAUACUAUCAGUCUUGAAUACCGUGGAGGUCAGCGGAAUAUGUCAUGUAGCGGUGAAAUGCUUAGAUAUGACAUAGAACACCAAUUGCGAAGGCAGCUGGCUACACGAAUAUUGACACUCAGGCACGAAAGCGUGGGGAUCAAACAGG